UGAGGAAUAUUGGUCAAUGGACGGAAGUCUGAACCAGCCAUGCCGCGUGAAGGAAUAAGGCCCUACGGGUCGUAAACUUCUUUUGUGGUGGAGCAAUAAGACGUACGUGUACGUCGAUGAGAGUACAUCACGAAUAAGCAUCGGCUAACUCCGUGCCAGCAGCCGCGGUAAUACGGAGGAUGCAAGCGUUAUCCGGAUUUAUUGGGUUUAAAGGGUGCGUAGGCUGUGUAGCAAGUCAGUGGUGAAAGCCCGGUGCUCAACACCGGAACUGCCAUUGAUACUGUUGCGCUGGAAUACGGAUGCCGUGGGAGGAAUGAGUAGUGUAGCGGUGAAAUGCAUAGAUAUUACUCAGAACACCGAUUGCGAAGGCAUCUCACGAAUCCGUCAUUGACGCUGAGGCACGAAAGCGUGGGGAUCAAACAGG
This 424-nucleotide ribosomal RNA is filed under the name uncultured bacterium. Its description in RNAcentral is "bacterial SSU rRNA". It matches the Rfam family "Bacterial small subunit ribosomal RNA", at positions 355 to 776 of the family's 1533-position model. RNAcentral also lists the same sequence under 2 other names. The record is from RNAcentral.